AAGAACAAAUUCUUAUUUACACUCACGCCCUACCCCGGCCAAACCCGGAAGAUGUGAUACAGCCUGUAUUCAAACCAGGGACUGUAGUAAUGCCUCUUGCACCGAGAUGCAGUGCCUUCGACCUCUGCGCCACUCGGGAGCCAUGACAAAUAUGUUGGUUUUUUUCAGAACAUUAACCGUGUAGAUAAGUGUGUAGGUAGAUAAGUGUGUAGGUAGAUAAGUGUGUAGGUAGAUAAGUGUGUAGGUAGAUAAGUGUGUAGGUGGGUAGAUAGGUGUGUAGGUAGGUAGAUAAGUGUGUAGGUGGGUAGAUAGGUGUGUAGGUAGGUAGAUAAGUGUGUAGGUAGGUAGAUAAGUGUGUAGGUAGACAGGUGUGUAGGUAGGUAGACAGGUGUGUAGGUAGAUAAGUGUGCAGGUAGAUAAGUGGGUAGGUAGAUAAGUGGGUAGGUAGAUAAGAGUGCAGGUAGGUAAGUGUGUAGGUAGGUAGGUAAGUGUGUAGGUAGAUAAGUGUGUAGGUAGAUAAGUGUGCAGGUAGAUAAGUGGGUAGGUAGAUAAGUGGGUAGGUAGAUAAGAGUGCAGGUAGAUAAGAGUGCAGGUAGAUAGAUAAGUGUGUAGGUAGAUAGGUAAGUGUGUAGGUAGAUAGGUAAGUGUGUAGGUAGAUAAGUGUGUAGGUAGAUAAGUGUGUAGGUAGGUAGAUAGGUGUGUAGGUAGGUAGAUAAGUGUGUAGGUAGGUAUAUAAGUGUGUAGGUAGGUAUAUAAGUGUGUAGGUAGGUAGAUAAGUGUGUAGGUAGAUAGAUAAG
RNAcentral lists this long non-coding RNA (797 nucleotides) under Salmo salar (Atlantic salmon). RNAcentral describes it as "lncRNA (ENSSSAG00000105479.1)". Lineage: Eukaryota; Metazoa; Chordata; Actinopteri; Salmoniformes; Salmonidae. The record is from RNAcentral.